AACGCGAAGAACCUUACCUGGACUUGACAUGCUUUUGACCGCUGCAGAAAUGCAGUUUUCUCGCAAGAGACAGAAGCACAGGUGCUGCAUGGCUGUCGUCAGCUCGUGCCGUGAGGUGUUGGGUUAAGUCCCGCAACGAGCGCAACCCUUGUCGUUAGUUGCCAACACGUAAUGGUGGGCACUCUAGCGAGACUGCCUAGGUUAACUAGGAGGAAGGUGAGGAUGACGUCAAGUCCGCAUGGCCUUUAUGUCCAGGGCUACACACGUGCUACAAUGGUCGGUACAAUGGGAAGCCAAGUCGUGAGAUGGAGCAAAUCCUUUAAAGCCGGCCCCAGUUCAGAUUGGAGUCUGCAACUCGACUCCAUGAAGAUGGAAUUGCUAGUAAUGGCGGGUCAGCAACACCGCCGUGAAUCCGUUCCCGGGUCUUGUACACACCG
Molecule: ribosomal RNA, 437 nt
Filed under: uncultured bacterium
Lineage: Bacteria
Description: bacterial SSU rRNA
Rfam family: Bacterial small subunit ribosomal RNA
Source: RNAcentral